AUGGCCGCUAUCCAACCCUUGAGCCCUUUCUAUAGAAGUUCCAAAUUCGUGGGUUCAACUAUCGUCCCUGCCCGAAUCCUGCCAAGACCCCGGAGAGUCACUCGUAGUACCAUGGCGUCGCCUAGCGGCAGCAGCCGCUCCUCCAAAAUCCCGGAGUUCCUGGCGGGUUCCGGCGGCCGGCCGGUGCCGGCCCUGGGGAUCGGCACGGCGUCGUUCCCGUUCGUGGCAGAGGACGUCAAGAACGCCGUGCUCGCCGCAUUGGAGAUCGGCUACCGCCACCUCGAUACAGCCUCAGUUUACCCCUCCGAGCACCUCGUCGGCGAGGCAGUGGCAGAGGCGGCGCGGCGCGGGGUCAUAGCGUCCCGCGAGGAGGUGUUCGUGACGACCAAGGUGUGGUGCACGCAGUGCCACCCGGAUCUCGUGCUCCCUUCCCUCAAGGAAAGCUUGCAGUUAAGCCGCCUUUGGGUUCAUUCCUUGGACUUUACUUUCCAGUUUUAUUAA
Molecule: ribosomal RNA, 501 nt
Filed under: Triticum aestivum (bread wheat)
Lineage: Eukaryota; Viridiplantae; Streptophyta; Magnoliopsida; Poales; Poaceae
Description: partial small subunit ribosomal RNA
Source: RNAcentral